CUUGGCUGUUGUGAGAAGAAGAGUCAGUGCUUGGAGGAGCUGCCUAUGGGCAACAUCAAGGAGGCCUGCAUGGAGCUCUGCAGGUGGGUGACUGACUCAGGGACACUGCAGCUCUGGAGGCUGCACAGGGCUUACAACAGACCCCACUGCAAUUCUCAGCACUCAUCUCCAAAACAAGUUCUUGGUAGAGGACCUGCACCCAAGAACACACUGAGAGAGACAGAGCUGAAGGGCACCUUCCACACAGAAACCUGGAGUGGGCAGGAGAGUGCAAGUUCAUGAACAUCCUGCUCUCCUCGUGGGGUGUAUGUACACAGCUUGGCAAAGGAAAGGAAACAAGGAGCAAACCAAGAGGCAGGUCUGAGACUGGCUCAUUACAUUGAAGAAUAGAAGGGAACAGGCUGGUUGGAUCCCAUGACAAUCCCCCAGUCCCCCACAGUGAGCACAUUAGCUUCUGUUUGGCUGAGAUAUCUGUACCCUUCUCCACCCAGAGACCUCAAGAGAUGGGGGCAUCAUCAUUUCCCUUUGCAGUUCCUUAAAAUUUUUGUAGAGUGCAAGACAACCAGAUCUGCUGCUCUGUUUAAGUCUUCCUGCUGUGAUAUCAACCAAGAGACUUCAUUGAACUGAAUCACUACAGACAAUUUUGCUGUCUUCACCUGGAAACAGCCUAAAACUUGAGUGGGGUCUGAAGGAUUAGGCUGUGAUUUGACUGGAAUAUUCCUUUGCAUCACAUGGCUAUAUUUAAUUUCUAAGCUCUGCUGAAAAGUAAAUUUACUAUGCUCUGCCUGCACAGUAAAUGGCUGGAUACCACAAUCCUAGUGCAAUCAACUGCAAUAGUUCCUCAACAGGUUUGGGUCCAACCCCAACUGAAUUAUGAAUGGAAAAAGCUGCUGAGGUGAGCUUUCCAGCUCCCCCACUUCUCCUUGCUAUUCCUGACCUAACAGCAGGGAGCCAGAGUGUGGCAAAGAUGAAUCACUUCCAUUCGCAAUUUGAGCAAACUGGUGUAUUAGCUGUGCUGAAGGGUUUUUGGGACUUGGGCAGGUGUGAAUCUGUUUUACUGGGGUUUGGUAGGAAUGCAAAGAGAGAAAAGCAGGCUGCAGGUGCCAGAUUUGUGCUUUGUGUUACUAAAGUCCUUCUAGUUCAGGAACACCUGUAUAAAUAAACACACACUGAGGCACAAGAGGGUAACCUGCAAACCAAGCACUGCAGUGACUCUGGCUGGAAGGAUUCUUCUCUGAGCUCUGUUGUCCUGGCUUAGGCUGCUCAUAGGGACAGUUGUUUGCUUUUGCAGCAAUAAGGGAUUAAGACUUUCAAGUUCUGCUGAAAAAAACCUGCAGUCUUUAUGCUGCAAUGCCAGAACUCUUAAUCAGAAGCACAGACUUAGCAAACUGCACAAUAAAUGUGUUAUCAGUCUUACCUUAUCAGAAAAGUUAACAUGAGCACACUGUCAGGAAAAGUCUGGCUGCUUUUAGUGGUAUAUGGGCUGUGUUUUCAGCACCAGUUCUGAUCCUGGAGUAUUCUGUAAUGCCCAAAAGGAUGGCAUGUAAGUAUCUCAUUUAUGAUAAAGAAGUGUCAGUAUAAAUUCUGAAGCCAAAAUUGCAAAGCUGGAUUUCUUGUCUGACAGUAGAUUUCCAAACAGUCUUUGUACUGUGGUCAUGUUUCAGCGCUGAGCUGUACAAUUUAUCCCAGGGAUGUCAUUGCACACUCCCAGAUUACUGUGAACUUCAGACAUUGCUAUAAACAUUUUAUUUAGUUGUUCUAAUGCAUUGCUGCCAUUAUGAAAGUCUGGAAAUAGAACUGAUUUGGCUUGAAUGUUUGAGUAAGAUAUUCCACAAUGGCCUCAGAGAAAACCUUCAAAGUCCAGCCUUUAAGGGGAAAUGAAAGCUGUGUGGAGAUUUUAGACUCAAAGUUAGGUAUGCUGGGACAAACAGCAAACCCUGUGACACAAGUUCCUGGCCCCAGACAGCUCCCUGCCUCCAGGGCUGGGCUGGAGCUCCUGCCCUGCCCUAAACAUCAGAGGGACAACAACCAGAGGCAAUCCCCUGUCCCUUGGACUCACUGCAAGACACAGACCA
This is a long non-coding RNA of Zonotrichia leucophrys gambelii, 2075 nucleotides long. RefSeq lists it as uncharacterized. The record is from RefSeq and is a predicted model, not a curated record. The transcript has 4 exons. Lineage: Eukaryota; Metazoa; Chordata; Aves; Passeriformes; Passerellidae.